AUCCAGUUGAAGAGUCCCAAAUAGGACGAAACGCGCAUCCUGGAU
Molecule: non-coding RNA, 45 nt
Filed under: Schistosoma mansoni
Lineage: Eukaryota; Metazoa; Platyhelminthes; Trematoda; Strigeidida; Schistosomatidae
Source: RNAcentral